RNAcentral lists this ribosomal RNA (497 nucleotides) under uncultured bacterium. RNAcentral describes it as "partial 16S ribosomal RNA". It matches the Rfam family "Bacterial small subunit ribosomal RNA", at positions 28 to 507 of the family's 1533-position model. The record is from RNAcentral.
GAUGAACGCUGGCGGCGUGCCUAAUACAUGCAAGUCGAGCGAACGGACGAGAAGCUUGCUUCUCUGAUGUUAGCGGCGGACGGGUGAGUAACACGUGGAUAACCUACCUAUAAGACUGGGAUAACUUCGGGAAACCGGAGCUAAUACCGGAUAAUAUUUUGAACCGCAUGGUUCAAAAGUGAAAGACGGUCUUGCUGUCACUUAUAGAUGGAUCCGCGCUGCAUUAGCUAGUUGGUAAGGUAACGGCUUACCAAGGCAACGAUGCAUAGCCGACCUGAGAGGGUGAUCGGCCACACUGGAACUGAGACACGGUCCAGACUCCUACGGGAGGCAGCAGUAGGGAAUCUUCCGCGAUGGGCGAAAGCCUGACGGAGCAACGCCGCGUGAGUGAUGAAGGUCUUCGGCUCGUUAAACUCUGUUAUUAGGGAAGAACAUAUGUGUAAGUAACUGUGCACAUCUUGACGGUACCUAAUCAGAAAGCCACGGCUAACUACGUG